AUGGUAUCAAAAAAAAAAAAAAUAACACAAAAGGUAAAAAUAAAAAAAAGAAAAAAAAAGUUUACAACAAAAAAUGACGAACACAAUGCAGAUGAGGUUAGAACGUUUAAUGCAGAGUUAAAUAACGAUGUUAGAAGAAAAUAUUUUAUUUUACCAAAAAUAAAACAAAAUGGUUUGCUAAGCUAUGAAGAAGAUAAGGAAAACAUUGGUGUUGGAAAUAAAACAAGAAAAAGUAAAAAAUUAGAAAAGGGUAGAACAAAAUUUAAAAAAAUUUUAGAAAACUUAGAAAAAAAAAGUAAAGAACAAAACACAAAUCCUAUCAUAAAUGAAAUAAAAAAAUUAUCAGAUAAAAUAUCACAUUUAUAUGACUUAAAAAACGACAUUGCAAUUAUUUCUAAUAGUAUAUUAGGCAAUGAACAUUCUAACAUCGAUAAUUUGGAUUUGUUAUUUUAUAUUUUUAAAGAAUGUUCGAAGAGAUAUGAAUUGUUGAUACGGCAGGAUGAAGAAGAUAGUGUGAAUAUGAAAAAAAAAGGAAUGGAUAGUACCAACAACAAACACAAUAGCUACAAAAAGUUGAAAUAUUACGAACACACAAGCGUGUUAGCAUGCAUAUCCAUAUGUAGUAUUCUUAAAUUUAUAACACCUUCGUAUAAAUUUAUUAACACUAGUGACAACACGUUAAAUCGCAAAAACGGAAUAGAUAUAAAAGGAGCUAAAAAUUCUUUUAACAAUAAAAAAGGUAAAAAAAACUGUAAAGUUCAAUCUAAUUAUAAUAAAAUUACUUCCUCAACAUCAUACAGUAAAAUAAUUGCAAAUGUAAACAAAUUUGAAGAUGAAAUAAAAAAAUAUUUUCAAAAAUUUUGUAAUAUAUUAAAAAAUAAUAUACAUAAAAAUGUCACAUUGUAUGUGAAUUUAUUAUGCGAAAUAGUAACUGUUAAUUUGGAUUUAUCAACUGAUGAACAUCUGUUUGAUUAUCUUUUAAAAUAUUCAAAUAUAUAUACUUAUUAUCAGAAACAAAAAAAUACUGAUAAAAAAAAAAACACAAAUAUAUCAAGUGAUAAAAAAUUGAAUGUAAAUUUAUUAUGUGUUAGAUGCUUAAAUACUGUAUUAGAAAUUAUGGAUAAUGAUAGUAAUUUAAAUGUUACCUUAAUUUUGGUACAUUAUUUUGUUAAUAAUCUUUUUAAAAAAGAUGUAAAAAUUAGUUCUGAUUUGUUAAGAAUAUUUAUAAAAAUUAAAAUAACAGAAAAAAAAAAUUAUGCUAAAUUAUAUUCAAAUGAUGAUUCAACACAUAACAGUAUAAACAAAGAAAUUAAUAAUGAAUUAAAAAAUAAAACUAAUAUUUUUGGGGAACUGACAAUUAUUGAAAAAAAUACAGAAAAAAUAUUAGAUGAACUUUUUUUUGUUUUUUUAUGUGUGUUAAGAGAAAACAGUAAAUAUUCUUCUUCAUUUGUAAAAAAUGUUUUAUACGGUAUUUCACAUUAUGCAUUAUAUGUUAAUAAGUUUUUAAUG
This 1509-nucleotide long non-coding RNA is filed under the name Piliocolobus tephrosceles (Ugandan red Colobus). RNAcentral describes it as "lncRNA (ENSPTEG00000018538.1)". The record is from RNAcentral. Lineage: Eukaryota; Metazoa; Chordata; Mammalia; Primates; Cercopithecidae.